Molecule: ribosomal RNA, 464 nt
Filed under: Gemella morbillorum
Lineage: Bacteria; Bacillati; Bacillota; Bacilli; Caryophanales; Gemellaceae
Description: bacterial SSU rRNA
Rfam family: Bacterial small subunit ribosomal RNA
Source: RNAcentral
GACGAACGCUGGCGGCGUGCCUAAUACAUGCAAGUCGAGCGAAGUUUUUCUGGUGCUUGCACUAGAAAAACUUAGCGGCGAACGGGUGAGUAACACGUAAAGAACCUGCCUCAUAGACUGGGACAACUAUUGGAAACGAUAGCUAAUACCGGAUAACAGUAUUUCUCGCAUGAGAGAUAUUUAAAAGUUGGUUAUGCUAACACUAUGAGAUGGCUUUGCGGUGCAUUAGCUAGUUGGUGGGGUAAAGGCCCACCAAGGCGACGAUGCAUAGCCGACCUGAGAGGGUGAUCGGCCACACUGGGACUGAGACACGGCCCAGACUCCUACGGGAGGCAGCAGUAGGGAAUCUUCCGCAAUGGGCGAAAGCCUGACGGAGCAACGCCGCGUGAGUGAAGAAGGAUUUCGGUUCGUAAAGCUUCUGUUUGUUAGGGAAAGAAAUGGGAUAAUGUAGUAAACUAUACCAU